GUUUGUUUUUAUUUAUAAUCUUUUUUCAUUUUUCGCGUCCACAACGGCUACUACCGCAAGAAAAACCGGGAUCAGAAACCAAGUUGUGGGAUAAUCUUUCGUAAUAUCGGAGAAAGUCGGUGCGGAUGUGCAGUUCCGGAUAGUGUUUCGGUUGGGGUAGGAACAUCGCCACAAAAAAGGAACCGUUGUGUUAAUUUCGGGAAGCGGCAAUAGCGGAAUCCAGGAAUCGGCAGCAUUUACCGCGACACUGAACGAGGCAAAAGUUCCAAUACCGCCACCAGCAAUUACCAUAACUUGUGGAGGUAUUUUUACUGGCACAUGCAACGAAGGUGUAUUCUUCCUCCAGGGUAAAUGAAAUUCGCCGUGGACAUUCACCUGACACCGGUUACCUCUGCCAUACAAAGCGCCAGCAACCACAUUUGGAAAUUCUAUCUAAACAAUCAUCGGCAUUUCGGUCGAUGCAUGAUGCACGGAUGUCGAUAUGGAGGUUCAAUAAGGUCAAUCAUCGAGUGGUGGAGAAACUGAAACUGCCGCCUAAUGCGAUGGUGACGCCCAACAGCAAAAUCAGCACAUUGAUACGGAGCUGGACCAAAUGAUGCUAGAGCUCUACCCAAAAUUGAUCUACCUACUGAUCCAGACUGAUCUUAGCCAAGAUUAUCGCCUGCUUAUUUUUAAUUUUAAGUGAAAUGGUUCAAGGAUGAUUUGAUCUGAACGGAUAUUUCAAGAUAUAUUGAUGUUGUGAACGAAGUACGGUAAAUAAUUUAUUGAAUUAUAGCCAUUUGUCUUGGUAUUAUACUGUUGACAAUUGA
Molecule: long non-coding RNA, 809 nt
Organism: Aedes albopictus (Asian tiger mosquito)
Lineage: Eukaryota; Metazoa; Arthropoda; Insecta; Diptera; Culicidae
Exons: 2
Source: RefSeq, a predicted model, not a curated record